GGAAGGGUAGUGGCAAACGGCUGAGUAAUGCACAGGUGACCUACCCUUGAGUGGGGAAUAAUCCUUCGAAAGAAGGACUAAUACCGCAUGAGCUCCCCGAGCGAUCGGGGAGUAAAGCCUUCGGGCGCUUGAGGAGGGGCUUGUGUCCUAUCAGGUAGUUGGUAGGGUAAGAGCCUACCAAGCCGAAGACGGGUAGCUGGUCUGAGAGGAUGGUCAGCCAGACGGGGACUGAGAUACGGCCCCGACUCCUACGGGAGGCAGCAGCAGGGGAUAUUGCGCAAUGGGCGAAAGCCUGACGCAGCGACGCCGCGUGGGGGAAGAAGGCCUUCGGGUUGUAAACCUCUUUUCUUGGUGAAGAGAAAGGACGGUAACCAAGGAAUAAGCCUCAGCUAACUACGUACCAGCAGCCGCGGUAAUACGUAGGAGGCGAGCGUUAUCCGGAUUUACUGGGCGUAAAGGGCGUGUAGAUGGCUUCUUAAGUCAGCUGUGAAAUCUCCUGGCUCAACUGGGAGAGGUCAGUUGAUACUGAGGAGCUUGAGGGCAGCAGAGGAAGAUGGAAUUCCCGGUGUAGUGGUGAAAUGCGUAGAUAUCGGGAGGAACACCAGUGGCGAAGGCGGUCUUCUGGGCUGUUUCUGACAUUGAGGCGCGAAAGCGUGGGGAGUGAAGCGGAUCAGAUACCCGCGUAAUCCACGCUAUAAACGGUGGAUACUAGGUAUGGGGGGUAUCGACCCUCUCCGUGCCGCAGCUAACGAUGUAAGUAUCCCGCCUGGGGACUACGGCCGCAAGGUUAAAACUCAAAGGAAUUGACGGGGGCCCGCACAAGCAGCGGAGCGUGUGGUUUAAUUCGAUGCAACACGAAGAACCUUACCAAGGCUUGUCAUGCCAGCGGUAGGAACCCGAAAGGGGGACGACCCCGACGUAAGUUGGGGAACUGGCACAGGUGCUACAUGGCUGUCGUCAGCUCGUGCCGUGAGGUGUUGGGUUAAGUCCCACAACGAGCGCAACCCUCGUUGCUAGUUGCACUCUCUAGCGAGACUGCUCCGAAAGUCGGAGAGGAAGGUGGGGAUGACGUCAAGUCAGCAUGGCCCUUACGCCUUGGGCGACACACACGCUACAAUGGGCGGUACAAAGGGCAGCGACAGAGCGAUCUGAAGCUAAUCCCAAAAAAGCGCCCUCAGUUCAGAUUGUAGGCUGAAACUCGCCUGCAUGAAGACGGAGUUGCUAGUAACCGCAGGUCAGCAUACUGCGGUGAAUACGUUCUCGGGCCUUGUACACACCGCCCAUCACGUCAUGAAAGCCGGCAACGCCUGAAGUCGAUGAGCUAACUUCUGAUUUAUCAGAGGGGGCAGUCGCCGAGGGCGGGGUUGGUGAUUGGGACGAAGUCGUAACAAGGUA
This 1395-nucleotide ribosomal RNA is filed under the name metagenome. RNAcentral describes it as "bacterial SSU rRNA". It matches the Rfam family "Bacterial small subunit ribosomal RNA". The record is from RNAcentral.